RNAcentral lists this transfer RNA (69 nucleotides) under Marmota monax (woodchuck). RNAcentral's name for it is "tRNA.Val". Lineage: Eukaryota; Metazoa; Chordata; Mammalia; Rodentia; Sciuridae. The record is from RNAcentral.
GUGUGUAGCUAGGUGGUAGAAUGCUUGCCUAACAUGCAAGAGAUCCUUGGUUCCAUUCCCAGCACCACA